CGAAUAGAACAGCCGAAUUUCCAAGUGAAAACGGGGGAACCAUACGUAUUGUUGCCGCUGACGCGCCGCUCGUAUCCGGGCGCCGGCUCAGCCGCAACUUGGGGUGAAUUUCGAGACGUUUGCCGUCAUUCGAAUAGGGCCGCCUGUCCGGCCCGAACCCGACAGCUAACCUCGCAGGCUGACGGACUAGGACUC
This 195-nucleotide small RNA is filed under the name Paenibacillus sp. RNAcentral's name for it is "c-di-AMP sequence". It matches the Rfam family "c-di-AMP riboswitch aptamer (ydaO/yuaA leader)". From Rfam's summary of the family: This family represents a conserved RNA structure found upstream of the ydaO and yuaA genes in Bacillus subtilis and related genes in other bacteria. The ydaO/yuaA element is thought to act as a genetic "off" switch for the ydaO and yuaA genes in its native state. The record is from RNAcentral. Lineage: Bacteria; Bacillati; Bacillota; Bacilli; Caryophanales; Paenibacillaceae. RNAcentral also lists the same sequence under 1 other name.